AGCAGGGGUCGAUUUAUCGCAUCUAGUAUAGACGCAAUGAAUCGACCACUGAGCGCUCUCCCAUCAACUCCGGUACUCCACCAGAACAAGAAGUGCAAGUGGAGUCGACGGGAGAGCAUCAGCUGUUGACUUAUUGCAGUGAAGAAACCACGAGGAAGAACACUUCAGGGUCA
Dermochelys coriacea (leatherback sea turtle) is the source of this 173-nucleotide long non-coding RNA. RefSeq lists it as uncharacterized. The transcript is spliced from 3 exons. Lineage: Eukaryota; Metazoa; Chordata; Testudines; Dermochelyidae. The record is from RefSeq and is a predicted model, not a curated record.